ACCAUCCAUUCCCUGGGGUUGCGCUACCGUACAAUGAGUGCACAGUAAGAGCAAUCCCUACCUAACACACUUGCCUCCACUAGAGCUUUGCUACACCUCAGUGUGAUUUUUGGAAAA
This 117-nucleotide non-coding RNA is filed under the name Saimiri boliviensis boliviensis (Bolivian squirrel monkey). Lineage: Eukaryota; Metazoa; Chordata; Mammalia; Primates; Cebidae. The record is from RNAcentral.